This 468-nucleotide ribosomal RNA is filed under the name uncultured bacterium. RNAcentral's name for it is "partial 16S ribosomal RNA". It matches the Rfam family "Bacterial small subunit ribosomal RNA", at positions 28 to 507 of the family's 1533-position model. The record is from RNAcentral.
GACGAACGCUGGCGGCGUGCUUAACACAUGCAAGUCGAACGGAAAGGCCCUGCUUUUGUGGGGUGCUCGAGUGGCGAACGGGUGAGUAACACGUGAGUAACCUGCCCUUGACUUUGGGAUAACUUCAGGAAACUGGGGCUAAUACCGGAUAGGAGCUCCUGCUGCAUGGUGGGGGUUGGAAAGUUUCGGCGGUUGGGGAUGGACUCGCGGCUUAUCGGCUUGUUGGUGGGGUAGUGGCUUACAAAGGGUUUGACGGGUAGCCGGCCUGAGAGGGUGACCGGCCACAUUGGGACUGAGGUACGGCCCAGACUCCUACGGGAGGCAGCAGUGGGGAAUAUUGCACAAUGGGCGGAAGCCUGAUGCAGCGACGCCGCGUGCGGGAUGACGUCCUUCGGGUUGUAAACCGCUUUCGCCUGUGACGAAGCGUGAGUGACGGUAAUGGGUAAAGAAGCACCGGCUAACUACGUG